UUAGGAAUAUUGGACAAUGGGCGCAAGCCUGAUCCAGCCAUGCCGCGUGAGUGAAGACGGCCUUAGGGUUGUAAAGCUCUUUCAGGUGUGAGGAUAAUGACAGUAACACCAGAAGAAGCCCCGGCUAAAUUCGUGCCAGCAGCCGCGGUAAUACGAAUGGGGCGAGCGUUGUUCGGAAUCACUGGGCGUAAAGCGUAUGUAGGCGGAAUUGCAAGUCAGAAGUGAAAGCCCGGGGCUUAACCCCGGAAUUGCUUUUGAAACUGCAAUUCUAGAGUUCUGGAGAGGCAAGGGGAAUUCCGAGUGUAGAGGUGAAAUUCGCAGAUAUUCGGAGGAACACCAGUGGCGUAGGCGCCUUGCUGGACAGAUACUGACGCUGAGAUACGAAAGCGUGGGGAGCAAACAGG
Molecule: ribosomal RNA, 404 nt
Filed under: uncultured bacterium
Lineage: Bacteria
Description: bacterial SSU rRNA
Rfam family: Bacterial small subunit ribosomal RNA
Source: RNAcentral